GUAAGAACUCGAAAGUUGCAAUAUGCAAAGUAGUCCUUUGACCUGAGGCAUCAUAGAUGUCUAAUGGUUAGGUCUUUGAUCUUUGAUCAUGUUAAUGGCAUUCCAUCGGAGUGUCCACAGCAUUGUUAGGGUCAAGCUAUCUAGUCGUGUAGGCAUAUGAAUGCACAACAAGGGAUCUCUAACCUUCCAUGAUGGAAGGAGAAUACUCUAAGAUAUGAUUCUAAAGUCUUUGGCCAAAGCAAAUGAAUAUG
Molecule: long non-coding RNA, 251 nt
Filed under: Malus domestica (apple)
Lineage: Eukaryota; Viridiplantae; Streptophyta; Magnoliopsida; Rosales; Rosaceae
Description: long non-coding RNA (MDOM_LNC010603)
Source: RNAcentral